This 427-nucleotide ribosomal RNA is filed under the name uncultured bacterium. RNAcentral describes it as "partial 16S ribosomal RNA". It matches the Rfam family "Bacterial small subunit ribosomal RNA", at positions 355 to 774 of the family's 1533-position model. The record is from RNAcentral.
UGGGGAAUAUUGGACAAUGGGCGAAAGCCUGAUCCAGCCAUGCCGCGUGUGUGAAGAAGGUCUUCGGAUUGUAAAGCACUUUAAGUUGGGAGGAAGGGCAUUAAUCUAAUACGUUAGUGUUUUGACGUUACCGACAGAAUAAGCACCGGCUAACUCUGUGCCAGCAGCCGCGGUAAUACAGAGGGUGCAAGCGUUAAUCGGAAUUACUGGGCGUAAAGCGCGCGUAGGUGGUUUGUUAAGUUGGAUGUGAAAUCCCCGGGCUCAACCUGGGAACUGCAUUCAAAACUGACUGACUAGAGUAUGGUAGAGGGUGGUGGAAUUUCCUGUGUAGCGGUGAAAUGCGUAGAUAUAGGAAGGAACACCAGUGGCGAAGGCGACCACCUGGACUAAUACUGACACUGAGGUGCGAAAGCGUGGGGAGCAAACA